CCGAGUUUACAACUCCCAAACCCCUGUGAACAUACCUAUAUGUUGCCUCGGCGGAUCAGCCCGCGCCCGUAAAACGGGACGGCCCGCCGCAGGAUCCACAAACUCUGUUUUUAUUGUAACUUCUGAGUAACAAAACAAAUAAAUCA
Molecule: unclassified non-coding RNA, 146 nt
Filed under: soil metagenome
Description: partial internal transcribed spacer 1
Source: RNAcentral